Molecule: transfer RNA, 110 nt
Organism: Piloderma croceum F 1598
Lineage: Eukaryota; Fungi; Basidiomycota; Agaricomycetes; Atheliales; Atheliaceae
Rfam family: tRNA
About the family: Transfer RNA (tRNA) molecules are approximately 80 nucleotides in length. Their secondary structure includes four short double-helical elements and three loops (D, anti-codon, and T loops). Further hydrogen bonds mediate the characteristic L-shaped molecular structure. tRNAs have two regions of fundamental functional importance: the anti-codon, which is responsible for specific mRNA codon recognition, and the 3' end, to which the tRNAs corresponding amino acid is attached (by aminoacyl-tRNA synthetases). tRNAs cope with the degeneracy of the genetic code in two manners: having more than one tRNA (with a specific anti-codon) for a particular amino acid; and 'wobble' base-pairing, i.e. permitting non-standard base-pairing at the 3rd anti-codon position.
Source: Rfam
GCCCGCCUAGCUCAAUCGGAUAGAGCGUCAGACUUUUAUCUAGGCGGUGCCAUACCGAUUCCAUUAGAUUUGGCAUCUGAAGGCUGCGAGUUCGACCCUCGCGGUGGGCU